GAAGCACUUUACCGGAUUUCUUCGGAAUGAAAGUUUUGUGACUGAGUGGCGGACGGGUGAGUAACGCGUGGGUAACCUGCCUCAUACAGGGGGAUAACAGUUAGAAAUGACUGCUAAUACCGCAUAAGACCACAGGACCGCAUGGUGCGGUGGUAAAAACUCCGGUGGUAUGAGAUGGACCCGCGUCUGAUUAGCUAGUUGGUAAGGUAACGGCUUACCAAGGCGACGAUCAGUAGCCGACCUGAGAGGGUGACCGGCCACAUUGGGACUGAGACACGGCCCAAACUCCUACGGGAGGCAGCAGUGGGGAAUAUUGCACAAUGGGGGAAACCCUGAUGCAGCGACGCCGCGUGAGCGAUGAAGUAUUUCGGUAUGUAAAGCUCUAUCAGCAGGGAAGAAUUAGGACGGUACCUGACUAAGAAGCACCGGCUAAAUACGUGCCAGCAGCCGCGGUAAUACGUAUGGUGCAAGCGUUAUCCGGAUUUACUGGGUGUAAAGGGAGCGUAGACGGAGAGGCAAGUCUGAUGUGAAAACCCGGGGCUCAACCCCGGGACUGCAUUGGAAACUGUUUUUCUAGAGUGUCGGAGAGGUAAGUGGAAUUCCUAGUGUAGCGGUGAAAUGCGUAGAUAUUAGGAGGAACACCAGUGGCGAAGGCGGCUUACUGGAC
Molecule: ribosomal RNA, 667 nt
Filed under: uncultured Lachnospiraceae bacterium
Lineage: Bacteria; Bacillati; Bacillota; Clostridia; Lachnospirales; Lachnospiraceae
Description: bacterial SSU rRNA
Rfam family: Bacterial small subunit ribosomal RNA
Source: RNAcentral